RNAcentral lists this ribosomal RNA (253 nucleotides) under uncultured bacterium. Its description in RNAcentral is "partial 16S ribosomal RNA". It matches the Rfam family "Bacterial small subunit ribosomal RNA", at positions 524 to 776 of the family's 1533-position model. The record is from RNAcentral.
UACAGAGGGUGCGAGCGUUAAUCGGAAUUACUGGGCGUAAAGCGCAUGUAGGUGGGAGGAUAAGUUUGAUGUGAAAGCCCUGGGCUUAACCUGGGAAUGGCGUUGAAUACUAUUUUUCUUGAGUCGGACAGAGGGCAGUGGAAUUUCCGGUGUAGCGGUGAAAUGCGUAGAGAUCGGAAAGAACACCAGUGGCGAAGGCGGCUGCCUGGGUCCAGACUGACACUGAGGUGCGAAAGCGUGGGGAGCAAACAGG